UUUGAUGUAGCUCAGUGGUACAGCAUCUGCCUGGCAAGCAUGAGGUCCUGGGUCCAAUCCCUGGUACUAAAA
RNAcentral lists this transfer RNA (72 nucleotides) under Heterocephalus glaber (naked mole-rat). It matches the Rfam family "tRNA". Rfam says of the family: Transfer RNA (tRNA) molecules are approximately 80 nucleotides in length. Their secondary structure includes four short double-helical elements and three loops (D, anti-codon, and T loops). The record is from Rfam by way of RNAcentral. Lineage: Eukaryota; Metazoa; Chordata; Mammalia; Rodentia; Bathyergidae.